This 253-nucleotide ribosomal RNA is filed under the name uncultured bacterium. RNAcentral's name for it is "partial 16S ribosomal RNA". It matches the Rfam family "Bacterial small subunit ribosomal RNA", at positions 524 to 776 of the family's 1533-position model. The record is from RNAcentral.
UACGUAGGGUGCAAGCGUUGUCCGGAAUUAUUGGGCGUAAAGAGCUCGUAGGCGGUUUGUUGCGUCGGCUGUGAAAUCCCGAGGCUCAACCUCGGGUCUGCAGUCGAUACGAGCAAACUAGAGUGUUGCAGGGGAGACUGGAAUUCCUGGUGGAGCGGUGAAAUGCGCAGAUAUCAGGAGGAACACCGGUGGCGAAGGCGGGUCUCUGGGCAACAACUGACGCUGAGGAGCGAAAGCGUGGGGAGCCAACAGG